AUGAAUCAAAUUCGGUCUGCUGUGCUGGUGGCAACACAUGUGCACGUCGAUCGUAAUUCCAUCCUCCUCCCAACCGUCCAUGUGUGUGUUUGGUCGACCUCGGUCGAAGAGUUGUGGCCCUUGGCCUCGAUUCGUUCCAGAUGCACCUUGGUUAUUUCACCCACUCUGGGUAUUAGAAACAAAGAACACUUUAUAUAAACUAUA
RNAcentral lists this unclassified non-coding RNA (204 nucleotides) under uncultured Sebacinales. RNAcentral describes it as "sequence contains ITS1". The record is from RNAcentral. Lineage: Eukaryota; Fungi; Basidiomycota; Agaricomycetes; Sebacinales.